Long non-coding RNA from Triticum aestivum (bread wheat), 2886 nucleotides. RefSeq lists it as uncharacterized. The transcript is spliced from 8 exons. The record is from RefSeq and is a predicted model, not a curated record. NCBI's taxonomy places the organism in Eukaryota, Viridiplantae, Streptophyta, Magnoliopsida, Poales, Poaceae.
GUGAUCUGUGUUUACAUUCUAUAAUUGUAUACUUGUCCUUGCCAUUGCCCUGUCCUGAAAUUCUUGCAAGCUAGAUCUAUUGUUUUUCAUUUGCUCGCUACUACACAACAAUAUUACUUCUGUAAACCUAAUAACCUCAAAGAUUAUAACGUGAUUAAAUAGUAUUUCCUGGAGAAGGUUCAACAUUGGUGCUCUUCCAUGUCAGCUAGAGGAGAAAAAUGAGGAGGAGCCGCUUCUCUGGCCAGACCUGGGGUCGGGACCGGCACGCCACUGACAUAUCUACGCCUGCGACCAUGGCCACACGCAUGGGCUGACGCCGCUAAUGAAGAUGCGUACCCUUAGCCACGAAUUUGUCCCUGAUCCCAUCCAUGCAGGUGGGCUUCGCUGCCAUGGAAUGACACCUCUGAUCUUCCAUGUAGAUGAGCUCGGGUUCAUGGAAGCCAUGUCCAAGCAAACUGAGUGCUUUGAAGGUUUUAUAGAAAAGGAAUCGGAAGCUCGGAGAGACCUCACGUGAAUCAACAGGCAAUUCCCUAUGGGCAAGCCUUAAAUCAUUAUCUUGAACAGAUAGUUUCACUUUUUCGCGACAGAAUAUAUGCUGUGAAUGAAAUCGGCCUUGAUGACCGCUAUUUAGAAUUUAGGCAAGUGGAAGGAGAUGGGGAGUGUUUCUACAGGAGCUUCAUAUUUUCCUACCUUGAGCAAGUUCUUGAUAGGAAAGACACAAAUGAGGAACGCCGCCUCCUUGCAGCUAUCCAAGAGUUGGCUGAGGAACCUGCACGUUUUGGAUGGGCCUCUGAAUUUUCUAGGAGCCAUGAUGCAUUAAGGAGUUGAUGAAGAAAGUAAAGAGAUGGAAGAAAAAAUGCAGAUUGAUCCCCGUAUUAACUGACAGGGUUUUGAUAUGUUUGGUUUGCUGCAAUUCCGGGAAGUGUUGCUGAUUAAUUGAAUUAUUGCUUCACUUUCAUACAUGUAUGAAAAAUUUGCAUAAUUUUACUUUAAAGGUGACGCCGGAGCUGGCGAAUUUGAGUGCAGGGCUUUUUUGGCGGCUUUGCUCCUCUUUUAAAGAAGAUACCUUCAGAGGAUAAUGGUAAUUAAAUACCCAUACCGCAACAUCAUCAGUAGUCAUUAAGAGUAAUUUUCUAUCUUGAUGAUUUCAUCCAUGACUGUGAGAUAUAUUAACUCUUCAACCUCAGUUUUAAUCAAGGACAAUUGAAGCCUAUUGAUUUUGAAUUGUUGACACAUGGUUUGCUUGAGACAAGUGAAGCUGCCGAGGUGAUUUGUACACCUAAACUGCUUCAAGUAUUCGCCCGAUUUGCAUGGCAAGAAUAGUAGGAUUAUACAGGUUAAUGUCAAGGGCUUGAAAGGUGUGAGGGAAGUAAACAUGGAUCUGAUGGUGAUGGGAAUCUUUCUUAUAAAGAAAGAUACAUAGGGUGUAUGAUCUGGCGCAUAUUAGAUAAUCAAAGUUGAUGCAUUGUGCACCAAUCUGGUUGAUGUUUACAUAAUCCAAGCAGAUUUACCAAUUUGAAGAGCCAUGUAUUAUUGUAGCUUCCUCUCUACAUCAAGUACACAUAAAUAUAAUGCCGAAGAAUGUAGUUUAUUUUAUUGGUCUACAGAUCUUCCCUGCGAGGCGCUACAGAUCAGAUGGGCGCUGUUGUGAAGGCCGCGAAGGCGUGGCAGGUGGCAUGGGUUAGCAUGUGGGUGGUACCACCAUGCUGCUCUGGACGUGCAUUGUGGUGCUGCUCGUGGCGGCUUUCGGAGGGAGACAGAGUGCAGAACAUAAAGAAUUUGGGAGCUACUUGGGUUUGGAUCAGCAAGCCAUGUCCGUUUGGUUUGGCAAAGGAAGGCCUUUUAUCCUUUUUCUAUAAUGCCAUGAACAUCUCUGAAUUUUUACACUGGUUCCAGCCGAUGCUUAAUAUUUUUCCAACAUUUUUGUGACUGGAGCCCACACAUACAUAGUCAUGGAUCUGAUUUUGAUUUUUGGACCUUGCUAUUUCACUGAUUUGGAACAUUUAUAUGCAGUUCUAGGCUUCUAGCUAGAUGGAUUAAUAGAUAUGUUGGACCUAUGCAUUUUAUAUUACCCGCAUGGAUCUAUGUUUAUUAUUUGAUGCUCCUCUUUAUCCUGGAGAAGAAUUUUUGCAAAGAGUUGUCAUUUUUGGAGAUAUGGAUUUGUUGUCACUUCAGCAGUAUGCUUUCAGUGCUACAAAGUAUGCAGUGAAUUAGAUUAGAUUGAUGAUAGAACUAUUGGCAGCACCAGUUUAACAUAUGUUGAUUUCUGGCCCAUCUUUAUUUGCUUCCGAGUUAAACUAUGAAUUUGAAAACAAAAAAAUUAUACAUUUGUUGAUGCUAAAUUUAUCAGUCCUUUUGUUUUGAUAAUCACCUCCUGCAUAUGUGUUCCUGGGUAGUUUUCUUACUGCCACAGCUUGGUUGUUCUAGCAGGAUAAUGUAUUUUUUUAUGGAAAACACGGAUGAGUAAUUACAUGAUAUGUUAUUAAUAUUAAACUAUGUUGUUUCUCUGAAACUAACUUUGUAUUUCAGCUUUGGAAACUGUGUUCUAACCUUAGUUCUGACAAGAGGGCCACUAUAAUCACCAACUGGUUUGAGUUUUGUCACCGCGCCAAAAUUCGUGAGGGAGACAUCUAUGCAUUUGUUUCAGGAUCACUUCAAAGCGCAGCCUGGUUUUCACACUGCACCGCCUCUAGAUGCACCAUCGACGACACUGCAGGCCCUGUGUCAAUAUAAUCUAACACUAAGUACUCUUAAUUAUGCUCUAUCCUGUGACAUCCUAUGGUUUGCUUUUGGUCCUUUUAUCACAUGCUUUUCAAGACACUAAAUUUAUGUUAUUGCUUAUGUAAAGUGCACUAUUCUUAGUCAGAUGUUUUAUGUUCAGAUCCA